CUUUCCACAUAUUUGUGAAUUUCCAGAGUUUUUUUUUUCUGCUAUUGAUUUCUAAUUUCAUUCCAUUGUGGUUGGAAAACACACAUUGUAUGACUUCUAUCCUUUCAAUUUUAUUGAGGUUUUCUUUUUUUUUUUUUUUUUUUUUGAGACUGAGUCUCGCUCUGUCGCCCAGGCUGGAGAGCAGUGGCACUGUCUCUGCUCACUGCAAGCUCUGCCUCCCGGGUUCACGCCAUUCUCCUGCCUCAGCCUCCCAAGUAGGUGGGACUACAGGCGUCCACCCCCACGCCCGGCUAAUUUUUUGUAUUUUUUAGUAGAAACGGGGUUUCAUCAUGUUUGCCAGGAUGGUCUCGAUCUCCUGACCUCAUGAUCCACCCCCCUCGGCUUCCCAAACUUCUGGGAUUACAGGCAUGAGCCACCGUGCCCGGCCUUAUUGAGGUUUUCUUAAUGGCCUAGUAUGUGGCCUUGAAGAGUGUUCCGUGUGCGCGUGAGAAGCGUGUGUGUGGUGGUUGUUGGGUGGAGUGUUCUAACCUGUUUAUGAAGUCUAGCUGUAGUGUUGUUCUUAUCUUCUGGUUCUUUGUUGAUCUUCUAGUUGUUCUAUCCCUUAUUGAAAGUGGGGUACUGGAGUCUCCAACUGACAUACUUUUAUUUUAGCUUUUUAUUUUGGAAAAUUUCAAACAUAUAUGAAAGAAGAGAUAAUGUACUUAACUCAUCACCCAGCUUCAACAUUUAUCAACAUCUUGCCAAUCUUAUUGAAUCUAUCCUUCCUUACCUUUUUUAAAAAUGUUUCCUAGAGUAUGUCAAAGCUCAUCCCAGAUGUCCUAAUGUUUCUAGUAAAUGCUUCUGCACAAUUCUAAAAGACAAGGAUGUUUUUAAACCCAGCCCCGACACUAUCAUACCUCACAAGAUUCAUGCUAAUUCCUCAGUGUCUUCUAGUCCCAAGUCCAUGCUCAAGUGUCCCCCGCUGUCCAGGCACCCUCUUCAGGGGUCCUCCAUGUUUCAUAGUGAGAAGGGACCCUCAGGGUUGGGCACCCCGGGCAGGCUGGCUGGAGGGGGCUUUGGAAAGGAAGGCUUUGGCGAGGGUGUGAGGGUGCAGGUCCUCACCAGCUCCUGUUUGGUCUGUUUCAGGAACAAAUGUGGUAUCUGGGGCUGGCGGUCGGAGAAGAUGGAAACUGUUAGCGGCUACGAGGCCAAGGCAGGAGAGGCCGGGGGUGGGGGCCAGGGGUAGGCGAUGAGGUCCAGGAACUCAAGGGUGGGGGCGGGGGUAGGCGAUGAGGUCCAGGAACUAGCUCCUCUCCACAUCCAUCCCAGAGUAGCCUUUGGGCUCUGGAAACCCUGAGCAUUUGUGGGAACUCAGCGGGCCUGAGUGCCCAGCCCCUGUGGAAUACAUAGGGCUCACCCACAUCACGGACCCCUACCCAGGGUACCGAGAUCAAAAGAGGAGUGUGUUCCUCUUGACCCUGGGGCUGCAUCUCCUCGUUGGUGACUUCCCGGGGUUCAGACCCUGCCACCUCCUCCAUUUUGGGGAGCAAGAUCUCAUCUGUCUCUGGGACAGGAGGACCUGGGUUCUGCACUGGUGAGGCUGAGUGUGGGAAGCAGGCUCUGAGCCCCCAGCUCCCCGUGUCCCCUGCUCCCCAGGUGUAUAGUGCCACCAACGUGGAGCUGGUGACACGCACGCGCACGGAGCACCUCUCUGAUCAGGACAAGUCGAGGAGCAAAGCGGGGAAGACUCCGUUCCAGUCCUUCCUGGGGAUGGCCCAGCAGCAUUCCUCCCACACCGGGGCCCCCGUGCAGCAGGCAGCCAGCCCCACCAACCCCACAGCCAUCUCCCCUGAGGAGUACUUCGACCCCAACUUCAGCCUGGAGUCACGGAACAUUGGCCGCCCUAUCGAGAUGUCCAGCAAAGUACAGAGGUUCAAGGCAACACUGUGGCUGAGCGAAGAGCACCCGCUCUCCCUGGGUGACCAGGUGACGCCCAUCAUCGACCUAAUGGCCAUCAGCAACGCUCACUUUGCCAAGCUGCGCGACUUCAUCACCCUGCACCUUCCACCUGGCUUCCCCGUCAAAAUUGAGAUUCCCCUUUUCCACGUGCUCAACGCCCGCAUCACCUUCAGCAACCUGUGUGGCUGUGACGAGCCCCUGAGCUCCGUGUGGGUGCCGGCCCCCAGCUCUGCUGUCGCCGCGUCAGGGAACCCUUUCCCGUGCGAGGUGGACCCCACUGUGUUUGAAGUGCCCGAGGGGUACAGCGUGCUAGGCACGGAGCGCAGCGAGCCCCUCCGAGACGAGGACGAUGACCUCCUGCAGUUCGCCAUCCAGCAGAGCCUGCUUGAAGCGGGCACCGAGGUGGAGCAGGUGGGACUUGCGCAGGGGGUGGGCUCUGGCCUCUGCAGCCACAGGGCAGAAGUGACAGUUGUGGGCUCCGGUGGCUGCAGGUGACCGUCUGGGAAGCCCUGACCAACACCCGGCCCGGUGCCCGCCCUCCUCCCCAGGCCACGGUUUAUGAGGAACAGCUUCAGCUGGAGCGGGCCCUCCAGGAAAGCCUGCGGCUGUCCACAGAGCCCAGGGGCCCAGGAUCCCCUCCCAGGACACCCCCAGUCCCCGGCCCACCCAGCUUUGAAGAGCAGCUGCGCCUGGCCCUGGAGUUGUCUUCACGGGAGCAGGAGGAGCGGGAGCGACGCGGGCAGCAGGAGGAGGAGGACUUACAGCGGAUCCUGCAGCUGUCACUCACCGAGCACUGAGCCACAGCCCCGGGAGGGCUGGCCAGGCCACUCCCUGCCCGCUUUUGUAAUUUAUUUAUUUAUAAACUCUCUGCUGCUGAGCUUGGGGCCUGGAGCCCCAGGAAUGGGCAGGCAGGGGAGACUGAGAUGGAAAUAAAGAGACUGCCGCAGC
Molecule: small RNA, 2886 nt
Filed under: Pongo abelii (Sumatran orangutan)
Lineage: Eukaryota; Metazoa; Chordata; Mammalia; Primates; Hominidae
Description: retained intron
Source: RNAcentral